Molecule: unclassified non-coding RNA, 681 nt
Filed under: Hevea brasiliensis (rubber tree)
Lineage: Eukaryota; Viridiplantae; Streptophyta; Magnoliopsida; Malpighiales; Euphorbiaceae
Source: RNAcentral
UCCGAAGUUCGCUCCGGUGGCUGGAUAUCACUGGUUUGAUGGAGACGGAAUGGUUCAUGCCAUGCGUAUCAAAGAUGGGAAAGCAACAUAUGUUUCACGUUAUGUUCAGACAUCACGCCUUAAGCAAGAAGAGUUUUUUGGAGAUGCAAAAUUUAUGAAGAUUGGAGACCUUAAAGGACUAUUUGGCUUGUUCAUGGUCCAAGUGCAACUUCUUCGAGCAAAACUCAAAGUUUUGGAUGUUUCAUAUGGAACUGCAACAGCUAAUACAGCUCUGACAUACCAUCACGGUAAACUUCUGGCUCUGUCGGAGGGAGAUAAACCUUAUGUUGUCAAAGUUCUAGAAGAUGGGGACUUGCAAACUCUAGGAUUGUUGGAUUAUGACAAGAGGUUGUCACACAACUUCACUGCUCAUCCCAAGGUUGACCCAUUCACUGAUGAGAUGUUUACAUUUGGUUAUUCGCACUCACCUCCCUAUUGCACUUAUCGGGUCAUAACUAAGGAGGGUGUAAUGCUGGAUCCAGUGCCAAUAACAAUAUCAGAUCCUGUCAUGAUGCACGACUUUGCCAUCACUGAAAACUAUGCAGUUUUCAUGGAUCUUCCUUUAUAUUUCCGACCAAAGGAAAUGGUCAAGGGAAAGUUGAUCAUUUCAUUUGAUGCUACAAAGAAAGCUCGCUUUGGCGU